This 253-nucleotide ribosomal RNA is filed under the name uncultured bacterium. RNAcentral's name for it is "partial 16S ribosomal RNA". It matches the Rfam family "Bacterial small subunit ribosomal RNA", at positions 524 to 776 of the family's 1533-position model. The record is from RNAcentral.
UACAGAGGUGGCAAGCGUUGUUCGGAAUUACUGGGCGUAAAGGGCGCGUAGGCGGCCUUGUAAGUCCUGUGUGAAAUCCCCCGGCUCAACUGGGGAACUGCACAGGAGACUGCUUGGCUUGAGCUCGGGAGAGGGAAGCGGAAUUCCGGGUGUAGCGGUGAAAUGCGUAGAUAUCGGAAGGAACAUCAGUGGCGAAAGCGACUGCCUGGACCAGAACCGACGUUCAGGCACGAAAGCGUGGGGAGCAAACAGG